RNAcentral lists this ribosomal RNA (500 nucleotides) under uncultured bacterium. Its description in RNAcentral is "partial 16S ribosomal RNA". It matches the Rfam family "Bacterial small subunit ribosomal RNA", at positions 30 to 523 of the family's 1533-position model. The record is from RNAcentral.
AUUGAACGCUGGCGGCAUGCCUUACACAUGCAAGUCGAACGGCAGCACGGGGGCAACCCUGGUGGCGAGUGGCGAACGGGUGAGUAAUACAUCGGAACGUACCCAGUAAUGGGGGAUAACUACGCGAAAGCGUAGCUAAUACCGCAUACGACCUACGGGUGAAAGCGGGGGAUCGCAAGACCUCGCGUUAUUGGAGCGGCCGAUGACAGAUUAGCUAGUUGGUGAGUUAAAGGCUCACCAAGGCAACGAUCUGUAGCUGGUCUGAGAGGACGACCAGCCACACUGGGACUGAGACACGGCCCAGACUCCUACGGGAGGCAGCAGUGGGGAAUUUUGGACAAUGGGGGAAACCCUGAUCCAGCAAUGCCGCGUGUGUGAAGAAGGCCUUCGGGUUGUAAAGCACUUUUGUCCGGAAAGAAAACGUCUGUGCUAAUACCACGGAUGAAUGACGGUACCGGAAGAAUAAAGACCGGCUAACUACGUGCCAGCCGCCGCCGUAA